Molecule: ribosomal RNA, 253 nt
Filed under: uncultured bacterium
Lineage: Bacteria
Description: partial 16S ribosomal RNA
Rfam family: Bacterial small subunit ribosomal RNA
Source: RNAcentral
UACGUAGGGGGCAAGCGUUGUCCGGAUUUAUUGGGCGUAAAGAGCGUGUAGGCGGCCAGACAGGUCUGCUGUGAAAACUCGAGGCUCAACCUCGAGACGCCGGUGGAAACCGUCUGGCUAGAGUCCGGAAGAGGAGAGUGGAAUUCCUGGUGUAGCGGUGAAAUGCGCAGAUAUCAGGAAGAACACCGGUGGCGAAGGCGGUGGGCUGGGCCGGCACUGACGCUGAGGAGCGAAAGCGUGGGGAGCGAACAGG